Molecule: ribosomal RNA, 495 nt
Filed under: uncultured bacterium
Lineage: Bacteria
Description: partial 16S ribosomal RNA
Rfam family: Bacterial small subunit ribosomal RNA
Source: RNAcentral
GACGAACGCUGGCGGCGUGCCUAAUACAUGCAAGUAGAACGCUGAAGGAGGAGCUUGCUCUUCUGUAUGAGUUGCGAACGGGUGAGUAACGCGUAGGUAACCUGCCUGGUAGCGGGGGAUAACUAUUGGAAACGAUAGCUAAUACCGCAUAAGAGUAGAUGUUGCAUGACAUUUGCUUAAAAGGUGCAAUUGCAUCACUACCAGAUGGACCUGCGUUGUAUUAGCUAGUUGGUGGGGUUACGGCUCACCAAGGCGACGAUACAUAGCCGACCUGAGAGGGUGAACCGCCCACCUGGGAACGAGAACCCGGCCAGAAUCCCACGGGAGGGAGCAGUAGGGAAACUUUGGAAAUGGACGGAAGUCCGAACGCGCCAAGGCGCGUGAGUGAAGAAGGUUUUCGGAUCGUAAAACCCUGUUGUAAGAGAAGAACGAGUGUGAGAGUGGAAAGUUCACACUGUGACGGUAUCUUACCAGAAAGGGACGGCUAACUACGUG